This 119-nucleotide small nuclear RNA is filed under the name Crocodylus porosus (Australian saltwater crocodile). RNAcentral describes it as "U2 spliceosomal RNA (ENSCPRG00005002052.1)". It matches the Rfam family "U2 spliceosomal RNA", at positions 67 to 185 of the family's 192-position model. Rfam says of the family: U2 is a small nuclear RNA (snRNA) component of the spliceosome (involved in pre-mRNA splicing). The record is from RNAcentral. Lineage: Eukaryota; Metazoa; Chordata; Crocodylia; Crocodylidae.
UGUCCUCCAUAGGAGGUUUAUAUUGAGCAGAUUCUUUUUGGUAUUGGGUGGUGGAACCGGAGCGUGCUCCAUCCACUCCAUGCAUUGACCUGGUCUUCCAGUGCCUCCAGGACCGGUGC